RNAcentral lists this ribosomal RNA (322 nucleotides) under uncultured eukaryote. RNAcentral describes it as "partial 18S ribosomal RNA". It matches the Rfam family "Eukaryotic small subunit ribosomal RNA", at positions 1470 to 1796 of the family's 1831-position model. The record is from RNAcentral.
CCCUUAGAUGUUCAGGGCCGCACGCGUGCUACACUGAGUGGAUCAGCGGGUCAGGUUGCGCGAAAGUGUUUCCUAAUCUUUAAAUCCGCUCGUGAUGGGGAUUGACGGUUGCAAUUUUCCGUCAUGAACGAGGAAUACCUUGUAAGCGCGGGUCAUCAUCCCGCGCUGAAUACGUCCCUGCCCUUUGUACACACCGCCCGUCGCUCCUACCGAUUGAGUGGUCCGGUGAGGCUUUGGGAUCUGAGCGGAAAGAGCGUUUCGCUGUUUCUGCCCGGAAAACUCAGUCGAACCUUAUCAUUUAGAGGAAGGAGAAGUCGUAACA